UACGGAGGAGGCAAGCGUUAUCCGGAAUUAUUGGGCGUAAAGCGUCCGCAGGUGGCACCUCAAGUCUGCUGUCAAAGACCGGGGCUUAACCCCAGAAAGGCAGUGGAAACUGAAGUGCUAGAGUGCAGUAGGGGUAGAGGGAAUUUACGGUGUAGCGGUGAAAUGCGUAGAAUAUCGUAAGGAAGACCAGUGGCGAAGGCGGGUCUCUGGACAGUUCCUGACACUGAGACACGAAGGCCAGGGGAGCAAACGGG
Molecule: ribosomal RNA, 254 nt
Filed under: uncultured bacterium
Lineage: Bacteria
Description: partial 16S ribosomal RNA
Rfam family: Bacterial small subunit ribosomal RNA
Source: RNAcentral